This 2235-nucleotide long non-coding RNA is filed under the name Carica papaya (papaya). Its description in RNAcentral is "long non-coding RNA (CPAP_LNC011827)". Lineage: Eukaryota; Viridiplantae; Streptophyta; Magnoliopsida; Brassicales; Caricaceae. The record is from RNAcentral.
UAUAAUAUGUGUGAUUAUUAUAAUAAUUGAUAUUAUGUAAUGCCCCGUUUUUUUUUUUUUUCUUAAUGGCGUAAACUAAGACAAUUCCACGGAUACAUAUGAACGCGUCAUUCCAAAUCCACCACAAACAUAGAAACCUUAACGCAAUCUAUUAUUCAAAGUCACAAUAAACCUACAACCCUACAUGUAAUAUCACAGUGAAGAAUAAUCUCACAGACUCCUAGCAGACACACUAUCUACUCUACUACUAGUUAUUACACACUCAAUCAUGCCAAAUAACGAAAGCAUUAUUGCCCUGUUCCUCUAUCCCCUAGGCUCGAAAAUGAGCAACUCUGAUCCCGACUCCAUCCCUACUUCAUCUGUAAAUAAUAAGGAGUGAGUAUAUAUAACUCAGUACAGUAAAAAUUAAGUUACAAGCAUCAUAUACAACAAUAGGGAACUCAGGGGUCCUAUAUGUACUCUACCUACUCAACCUAAUACCUACCCUUGGUAAUUUAAAAAUUAUGCAUGUUAAUUGUGACCGCCCCUCAACGUCCCCUAACCCUACGAAUACUCUCUCCCGUCACCAGUAUCAGCGAUCACCAAUAAACUGCCUAUCUUCCGACCCCUAAUAGGCCACACACACACACAUAUACCAUUCUCACCCGUCACCAGUAUCGACGCCCACUAAUAAACUGCCUAUCUCUCGACCCCUAAUAGACCACACACACACACAGAUUCUAUUCUCAUCCGUCACCAGUAUCGAUGAUCACCAAUAAAUCGCCUAUCCCUCGACCCCUAAUAAGCCACACACACGCACAGAGAUUCCAUUCUCACCCGUCACCAGUAUCGGCGACCACCAAUAAACCGCAUAUCCCUCGACCCCUAAUAGGCCACGCCCAAAUACCAUUCUUUCUCAUCACCAAUAUCGGCGACCAAACCCCUUACCGUCGAAGUCUCCCGACCAUCACCACCAUCGGCGAUUAACUUACUUUUUCUAGUUAAUGACCACCAAUAUCGGCAUCCCCCAAUGUUACCAACUCAAGGACCCUACCAUCCCGUACUCGCUCCACCAUAUUAUCCUGAGGCUCUCCUAUUCCUUUACCUGGUAUACCAGCCCAACACACAUCUCCUCCUAUAACACACACUAACAUUUCACACACACGCCGAUAAUGUUCCCUCGCCAACCAUUACAUUUACAACAGCUAUACCAACCUAUAUACAACCCACACCCUCAUACCACACAACUACCAACACACCCUUAUCCCGAUACUUUAAACCAUGCCUUAUUGGCCUCUCUUUUCCUUUCCCAAAUUUCCAGCAUAUACGCUCUCCUCUCCUCUAUAUCUACCUCUCUCUACUGUCAUACCACACUUCUCCUCUUACCCCAAUCUCUUCCCACACACCGAACUCAUCCUUCUCCCUCUUUCCACAGUCCACUCUAAGGACCCCCUGCAUAAUUAUGAACUCUCCUCUCUCUCACAAAACUCACACACUGCGUUCCUUCUUCUUCUACCUCCCACGACCUAUUCAAAAUAUCACAACUCACACACUCACAAUCACAACUCUCAUCUCUCUCUCAGAACACUCACCAUCUUCCUUCUUCCUUCUCUCUCCUCCCGCGGCCUCCUCCGUGUACCCCGCUCGCACACACACAACGUCAGCUCACCCUCACGGAUCUCACCCACUCACCGACCUCCUCGUUCACUCUCUCUUCCCGCGGCCUUCACCAUGUACUCACACUCAUAUUACACAAAAUAACCACACUCUCUCACGGAUCUCUCCCACUCUCCAACAUCUUCAUUCUCUCUCUUCCUGCGGCCUCCUCCGUGAGCACCUCCACGAUUCCACCUGCCAUCCACAACCACUUCUCUCUACCCCGUAGUCUAUUGCUCUACAUACUAAACGGAACCUAGAAUUCUCAACUUAAGAUCACAUAUUCGAAAUCACUCCACACCUAUACAAGAACUCAAAAGUUAUCGUACCUCCCGUCUCUAUUUGCCUCCUUCCCUUGGCUUGCUCUGUCACCGUCCUCUGUCUCCUUCUCUCUCUCUCUCUUCUCACUCCUCUCCACUUUGGCUCUUCUCUCUCUCUCGAACCUUCUCUUUCCCCCGAUCUCUCUUCUCUCUUUUCUUUCAUUUCCUCCCUUUUUUCUUUCCUCUUUUCUCUUUUCUUUUCUUUCCUCCUUUUUUUUUCCUCUUUUCUCUUUUCUUUUCUUUCCUCUCUUCCUACCUGUCCAUCUCAAAACGACGUCGU